GGGGUUGUUUGGUUUUGACAGCUCGUAUGUGAUUAUGUAAGCACGUCGGACGUUGUAAGCAGGUUCCGUAAUAGCCAACUUUCAUGCCAGAUAAAUGGCGAAAAUAAUAAUUUUGCUUUAGCUGCCUAGUUGAACUAAGUAGCAAGCUGUUUCCUCAAAAGCUUUUCUCUACAGCGUUUGAAGUGAAGCAUCGGAAAUGUGGAGAUAGUUUCUAUAUGCCUCGAUAUGGGAAUGAAAAUUAAGAGGAUAAACUUUUGUCUGGUUUGCCUUGUACCGUACAUUAAGUCGAAAAACAAACAAAGGAUAAGCGUGUAGAAAGCAUUUUUGCAGCGUGUUUGGACGAGGGUUCGACUCCCUCCAACUCCACAA
Molecule: transfer-messenger RNA, 369 nt
Filed under: Bacteroidales bacterium
Lineage: Bacteria; Pseudomonadati; Bacteroidota; Bacteroidia; Bacteroidales
Rfam family: transfer-messenger RNA
About the family: Bacterial tmRNA, also known as 10Sa RNA or SsrA, is named for its dual tRNA and mRNA-like properties. Its role is to liberate the mRNA from a stalled ribosome. To accomplish this part of the tmRNA is used as a reading frame that ends in a translation stop signal.
Source: RNAcentral